Long non-coding RNA from Astatotilapia calliptera (eastern happy), 1570 nucleotides. The record is from Ensembl. Lineage: Eukaryota; Metazoa; Chordata; Actinopteri; Cichliformes; Cichlidae.
AUUUAUUUCUUUUUGGUUGAGUGUGUCAGCUUGACUACUGCGUGUUUUAACUCUAUUUUCUGUUCUGAAAUAUAUUAUUUUCAGGGAACGUUGAAUUACGUGGAUCCACUUUUCUUUUGUGACAUUGACCUGCAAAAAUGUCUCAGUGAAACAAAAAAUUCACACAAAUGGAUAUAAAUAACAAAGUAGAAAACAUCAGUUUCUUUAAAGCUGAGCGCAUGUAAUGACAGAUUUUUCAGAUUUCUGAUGAGCAAUACUUGGGAAGAUGUUUUAUUAAUGUGGACUGUUAGGCUAUAAGACUAAUAUCCUUGGUUUGCUGUGUCAAAUUAAGAACUGUUAUGGCUGGAUAAUGUUUUUUAUUAUUAAUAUUAAUUGAGGUACCUCACAUGGAGUCAAAAUAUCCUUCUCACUGCCUAAGUGGUUUCAAGGUUUGGAAACUACACUAGGCUUCAUGUUUUGUAAAUAUGAGUUGGUUUGAAAGGGAGUAAAGCAUUUGACAGUAACGGCCAUUUAAACUGCUUGGUUGUCAUUACAGCCUUUCUCCACCAGAGGGAGUCAUGAACCACACCGUGUGUCACAACAAGCUUGUCCUUCAAUAAAAAUCAAUGGAAUCAUAAAGUUUUUAUUGAAAACUAUGUUUUUGGAAAUUAUUCCGUCUGAUCUAUGUGCUAAUUUCUCCGAUGUCUCAAAGGGAAACUUAUUUUUGUUGUAAAAUUUAUGUGUGUAUAUUCCAACACACAAAAGAUGGUUUAGUCUCAAAGCAAUCCAUACUGUGAUGAUUGCUGUGAGACCCAGAAGAAUAAAUGUUUCAUAGUUGGUUGGUUUGUUUGUUUUUAGAUAAUUUAAGUAUAGUAGUUGAAAUAAAUGUUUAGAAGAUUUUUUUUGGAAAAUUAUUUAUUUUUUAUCUUAGUAUGAUGAAAUGAUAUUGUUUCCUUUUUUUUUAUUUUAUUAAACUCCAUUCUGCACUCCUAAUACUCACCUAAACAUGGGUUGUUGGGUCAUGCUCCCCAUGGCAGUAACAGUGAUCAUGGAUGGUGUGACAGAGCGCUGGGUGUGGCAGAUAGGAUUUUACUCAUACUGCUGUCAGGAGGUGAGGUGGAAGAGGGCCAGAUUUUAGAGCAAGAAGGUGAAAGCUUAGAGGAGUCCGAGCAGGGACAAAUAUAGAAAUGUUGUUAAAGCUAGGGCUCUGAAGUUGUGGCAUUUGGUUUCUCGGCUGCCAUUUAAAACACCGGCCUGUGAGGGCAAUAAUCUUUUGGCACCCCUGUUGCAUUCUGUUUAACAGUGGUCUCACCUUCCAGAGAGCUUCAUUCUUUCCCCUUUAACGAUUAAGAUAAUCCGUUACUUUGAUGGACUCCCUAAUAUCUGAAAAAUGUGCCUUGACUUACUGAACUGACUGUAACAAGGAACCAGCAAGUUCAGGUCCUAGGAUAUCUGAGUCAUGCCAUGAAAUGGAUGUUUUCAGAUGAGCACGUCCCUCUGGUUUGUGUGCUCUGACAUGUUUUUCAGAAACCUGGUUACCUAUUUACACUUUGAUGUAAUCAUAGGGCCUCCUGUCAUGGUUGUUAGCAGC